AAAUGAAGCGUGAAAUAAGCCAAGUCAACAGUGAAGAGGAACAAAGGAACAACCCAUGAUGUGUGUGCUUUAGUCUAACCGUUGACUGGCCUUGGUUGUGUGGUGGCUCUUUUUCUCCUUUCCAUUCAGCUAAAUUCAUGCUUUCAUUACAUUCCACUUCAUUUCAUUAUAAUUUAGCUGAAUGUAAAGGGAAAAAGAAGAACCACACACCUUAAUUUCCUGUUUCUUUUCUUUUCUUUUUUAUUGAAUUAAA
Molecule: non-coding RNA, 253 nt
Filed under: Symbiodinium sp. clade D
Lineage: Eukaryota; Dinophyceae; Suessiales; Symbiodiniaceae
Source: RNAcentral